RNAcentral lists this ribosomal RNA (593 nucleotides) under uncultured fungus. Its description in RNAcentral is "eukaryotic LSU rRNA". It matches the Rfam family "Eukaryotic large subunit ribosomal RNA", at positions 69 to 647 of the family's 3401-position model. The record is from RNAcentral. Lineage: Eukaryota; Fungi.
CAGGGAUUCCCCUAGUAACUGCGAGUGAAGCGGGAAAAGCUCAAAUUUAAAAUCUGGCGGUUCUGCCGUCCGAGUUGUAAUUUAGAGAAGCGUUAUCCGUGCUGGACCGUGUACAAGUCUCCUGGAAUGGAGCGUCAUAGAGGGUGAGAAUCCCGUCUUUGACACGGACUCCCAGUGCAUUGUGAUGCGCUCUCAAAGAGUCGAGUUGUUUGGGAAUGCAGCUCAAAAUGGGUGGUAAAUUCCAUCUAAAGCUAAAUAUUGGGGAGAGACCGAUAGCGAACAAGUACCGUGAGGGAAAGAUGAAAAGGACUUUGGAAAGAGAGUUAAACAGUACGUGAAAUUGUUGAAAGGGAAACGCUUGAAGUCAGUCGCGUCGUUCAAGACUCAGCCUUGCUCUGCUUGGUGUACUUCUUGUUCGACGGGUCAGCAUCAAUUUUGGUCGGUGGAUAAAGGCUCAGAGAAUGUGGCAUCUUCGGGUGUGUUAUAGCUUUGGGUCGCAUACAUCGGCUGGGAUUGAGGAACUCAGCACGCCGCAAGGCCGGGUACUUGUACCACGUACGUGCUUAGGAUGCUGGCAUAAUGGCUUUAAUCGA